GGUUCGAUUAUGGCUCAGAUUGAACGCUGGCGGGAUAGCCUACACAUGCAAGUCGAACGGCAGCACGGACUUCGGUCUGGUGGCGAGUGGCGAACGGGUGAGUAAUGUAUCGGAACGUGCCUAGUAGCGGGGGAUAACUACGCGAAAGCGUAGCUAAUACCACAUACGCCCUUCGAGGAAAGCGGGGGGACCUUCGGGUCUCGCACUAUUAGAGCGGCCGAUAUCGGAUUAGCUAGUUGGUGGGGUAACGGCUCACCAGGGCGACGAUCCGUAGCCG
This 277-nucleotide unclassified non-coding RNA is filed under the name uncultured Bordetella sp. RNAcentral describes it as "partial 16S-23S ribosomal RNA intergenic spacer". It matches the Rfam family "Bacterial small subunit ribosomal RNA", at positions 10 to 289 of the family's 1533-position model. Lineage: Bacteria; Pseudomonadati; Pseudomonadota; Betaproteobacteria; Burkholderiales; Alcaligenaceae. The record is from RNAcentral.